This 2211-nucleotide ribosomal RNA is filed under the name human gut metagenome. RNAcentral's name for it is "bacterial LSU rRNA". It matches the Rfam family "Bacterial large subunit ribosomal RNA", at positions 1 to 2215 of the family's 2925-position model. The record is from RNAcentral.
AGUAAGAGCAUACGGUGGAUGCCUUGGCGAUAUCUGCCGAUGAAGGACGCGACAAGCUGCGAAAAGCUGCGGAGAGGUGCAAAUGACCAUUGACCCGCAGAUCUCCGAAUGGAGCAAUCCGGCAGGGUUUAUCCCCUGUCACCCAUAUCUUCGAAUAUGGGAGGGAACCGGGCGAACUGAAACAUCUAAGUAGCCCGAGGAAGAGUAAUCAAACGAGAUACCCCAAGUAGCGGCGAGCGAACGGGGCCUAAGCCCAAACCGGUGAAGGAAACUUUGCCGGGGUUGAGGACUGCCAUACGAACUCAACCAUUAGCCGAAAUUCCUGGGAAGGAAUGCCGAAGAAUGUGAAAGCCAUGUAAGCGAAAAUGGAAAAGGGACAGGCAGCACCAGAGUACCGCGGGACACGAGAAACCCCGUGGGAAGCCGGGGGGACCACCCUCCAAGGCAAAACACAGAUAUCGACCGAUAGCGCAUAGUACCAUGAGGGAAAGGUGAAAAGCACCCCGGGAGGGGAAUGAAACAGAACCUGAAACCGUAUGUUUACAAGCAGUCGAAGACCGCUUAAUAAUAAGGUCAACGGCGUGCCUAUUGAAGAAUGAACCGGCGAGUUAUGAGGUCCAGCAAGGUUAAGCAGGAAAUGCGGAGCCGAAGCGAAAGCGAGUCUUAAUAGGGCGACAAGUUGGAUUGCAUAGACCCGAAACCACAGUGAUCUACCCAUGUCCAGGCUGAAGCACAGGUAAAAAUGUGUGGAGGGCCGAACCUAUAUCCGUUGAAAAGGGUUAGGAUGAGGUGUGGGUAGGGGUGAAAUUCCAAUCGAACGUGGAGAUAGCUGGUUCUCCCCGAAAUAGCUUUAGGGCUAGCCUCGAGGUAGAGAUUGCAGGCGGUAGAGCACUGAUCAGGAGAGGGGCCUACCCGGCUACCAAACCCAGUCAAACUACGAAUGGCUGCAAUUAUACUCGGGAGUCAGACUACGACUUAUAAGGGCCGUGGUCAAAAGGGAAACAGCCCAGAUCAUCAGCUAAGGUCCCAAAUGCCGUGCUAAGUGGCGAAGGAUGUGGCGUUUCAUAAACAACCAGGAUGUUGGCUCAGAAGCAGCCACCAUUUAAAGAGUGCGUAAUAGCUCACUGGUCGAGAGACGCUGCGCCGAAAAUGUCCGGGGCUCAAGCACGGAACCGAAGCUAUGGCAUUGACUAUGUCAAUGGGUAGGGGAGCGUUCUUAACAGGAAGAAGCAUGACCGAAAGGACAUGUGGACCGUUAAGAAGUGAGAAUGCCGGUAUGAGUAUCGAAAAGAAAGGUGAGAAUCCUUUCCACCGAAAGCCCGAGGGUUCCUGAGCAACGAUCGUCGUCUCAGGGUAAGUCGGGACCUAAGCCGAGGCGGAGACGCAUAGGCGAUGGACAACAGGUUGAAAUUCCUGUACCGGAUACAAUCGUUUGAGCGAUGGAGCGACGCAGAAAGGUAUAUGAUCGCGCGACUGGAAGAGCGCGUCCAAGUGCGUAUGUUGAAUCGGAGGCAAAUCCCUGAUUCUGAAAGCAGAGACACGAUGGGGAGUUAUACGAAAGUAUGACGAACUCAUAGAUCCUACACUGCCAAGAAAAACUUCUAGUGAGAAAGUAUCCGCCCGUACCGUAAACCGACACAGGUAGGCGGGGAGAGAAUCCUAAGGUGCGCGGGAAAACCCUCGUUAAGGAACUCGGCAAAUUGCAUCCGUAACUUAGGGAGAAGGAUGACCUUAAGUAAGCGAAAGGGAGAAACCCCUGGAACAGAACAAGGUGGCAGAAAAGAGGCCCAAGCAACUGUUUACCAAAAACACAGGUGCCUGCGAAAGCGAAAGCUGAAGUAUAGGUGCUGACGCCUGCCCGGUGCUGGAAGGUUAAGGAGAGAUGUCAGAGCAAUCGAAGCAUUGAACUGAAGCCCCAGUGAACGGCGGCCGUAACUAUAACGGUCCUAAGGUAGCGAAAUUCCUUGUCGGGUAAGUUCCGACCCGCAUGAAAGGCGUAAUGAUUUGGGCACUGUCUCAACGAGGGGCCCGGUGAAAUUGAAAUACCUGUGAAGAUGCAGGUUACCCGCGACUGGACAGAAAGACCCCAUGGAGCUUCACUGCAGCUUGAGAUUGAAUCUCGGUGAUGCAUGCACAGGAUAGGUGGGAGACUUUGAAGUAUGGGCUUUGGCUUAUACUGAGUCGAUGUUGGGAUACCACCCUUGCGAUAUU